GGGUAGCAACAAAGUAAGGUUAAGAGGCGGCGGCGGCGGCGGCGGCGGCAGCGUCAUCGGCGCGAGCAAAGCUAAGCAGCUCAGGAGGGGACGACGUCCAUUUACUCCCGCCGCGCCGUCAACCACUUGCACCACUACGCGUGUCCGUGGUGGAUGAGCCACUCGGCGUAGUUCGGGCUCUUCUUCGAGAAGAUGCGUAGGCAUCUCCUUCGCGCUUGGCGCCGCGGCGGGUACUUCUUCUAAGGCCGGUACAGCUCCUACGGGUUCGGGUUAGAGUCCGAGCUCCGCAUGGCGGACCUGCUGUACGCCGAGCUAAAGGACGGGGACAUGCCAGCGCCGCCGCUGUCGUCGUCGUCGUCGCUCUAGGAGAGGCACCUGAGCCGUCCGGUGUGGUAGGAGACGCUGCGCUCGAGACCGACGCAGGUCGGACGGGGGUCGGAGCCGCUCGGGUUCCCCCUGUCGGGGUAGAGCAAGUGGUAGCGAGCGCAGCCGCGGGGGCGGGGGCGGCGGCACCGAGACAUGCAGUACCUGUCCAAGGGGUGGCCGGCGUCGAGCACGUCGAAGCUCAGGGAGCGGAUGCCGCUCUUGUUGACGACCCUCACCUCGGCCGAGGGCGGCGGCGGGAUACAGUUGCUGGGCCGGAUGCUGACGUGGCGAUAGGUGAGGAUGUGCGACGAGUUACGUCCGAGGUGGUAGACGUAUAGGAGGAGGCCCGCGUCGGGGUAGCCCUGGAUGACGAAGCUGUGCCGAUCGGCGUUCACCUCAUUCCGACCGGCGACCCGCGACGGGAAGAUGCCGGCCCGGCUCGUACAGGGACUCGAACCGUUGGAGACCAAGCCGUACCGACUGUCGUCGGGGUUGUUGGACACGCGCAGCCUGGAGAGGUCGGAGCUGCGGCCCCGAGGGUCCUACGAUGCACUCACCGUUCAGGAGCUGGGCGGAGUCCCGACCCACGUUUAUUCCCCGACGGACGAGAUGGACCCUCGGCCGUCCAAAACGUAGUUGUUUCAAAAACUGUAACCCCUGCUCCCGUCCUGGUUCUCACUGUUAGUCCGACGACAGUACUGGCCACACCUCCACCACGUACUACUUUGUCUGGUUGAUGUCUACUAGUUUGUGUUCAGGACACAGUCGAUACGUCCGUAGGUCAAAUAGGAAAUCUAGUUAUAAUCACCGAGGAUGGUAUACUCGACAAAAGAAGAAACAGAUUGGUACAAGAAUCUGACGUCGUCAAGUGUCGUCGUACAGUACAUAUGAUUAACACGAGUCAAGGAAGAAUAUACAUAAUAUGUCAAACGACAAGGUUGAAGUAUACUGACAUUAGAAAUUGAAAAUGUACGGUUGGGG
Molecule: ribosomal RNA, 1347 nt
Filed under: Triticum aestivum (bread wheat)
Lineage: Eukaryota; Viridiplantae; Streptophyta; Magnoliopsida; Poales; Poaceae
Description: partial small subunit ribosomal RNA
Source: RNAcentral